RNAcentral lists this long non-coding RNA (7708 nucleotides) under Lactuca sativa (garden lettuce). RNAcentral describes it as "long non-coding RNA (LSAT_LNC000621)". Lineage: Eukaryota; Viridiplantae; Streptophyta; Magnoliopsida; Asterales; Asteraceae. The record is from RNAcentral.
GUGUUUUGAUGAUUGUGAUUCCAUUUGAGGUGUCACACUUGGGGCACUAGGCACUCAAGCUUCAUGAAGACUUUCUACACCAAAGAGGUAUGUAUUCUAUCUUGCUAUAGUUAUUGUUUUGUAUGCUAGAUUAGGAUAAUACCUUGGAAGUUCUUAUUUGCAUGUAUAAUAGAGAAAACAUAGAUCCAAGGUAUUUAGGGUUGCAUGUACACUUAGGAAGUGUUAGAAUGCUCAAAACCCAACAGUGGUAUCAGAGCCACGGGUUGUUUUCUGUUAUAUUGAUGCAAAUAUUUUAUUUUCAAAGUUGAAAAAAAAAAAAAAAAAAAACAUGAAGUUUGUCAAAUUUUAAGAUAAUUACUUGUUCUUGUGAAAAACUAAUUAUUUGUAAAAUUUGAAUAAUUUGCUUUAUGAGUUGAAUUAGGUCAAAUUUAAUAAAAGAUAAAAUAAUAUGAUUAUUUUAUUAGUUUUAAAAGUUUGAUCUAAAGAGUUUUAUUUUUUGAAACCUCCAUAAGUUAUGGAUAUGAAAAGGUUUUAAAAAAAAAAUUGAUUCAAAGUUUUUUUGGAGUUACAAAAUUUGGUGUUAAUGUUUUAAAGGAUUCCAUAACUUAAGAAUAAGUUAUGGAUCACCAAAAGUUUUUUGUGUUACCUUGUUUUAUGAGUGAAUUUAGAUUAAUGAAUAAAAUUAUGUGAUAGUUGGUUUUAAUCCAAAUUAAUCUAAGAAUUGAUUCUAAAAUGUGUUUUUGUAACUUGUCCUCAAGUUAUAUGAAAAGUCACAUUUAAGAAUCAUAAAACUCAUAAAAAUUGGCAAAGGUUACAAAAAUGAAGAGUCUAGUUCUAAUUAAAUGGUUUUAUGACUCCAUAACUUGUCCUCAAGUUAUGGAGGACCAAGAGUCUCUUCAUUUAAUAAAAUAAAAUAAAAAAAAAAAAAGUGUAACCUUAAUUAAUUCCAUAAGUUAUAAAAUAAAGAAAAGUUAAUUCUUUUAUUAGUUUAAAGUCUUCCAUAACUUGUCCUCAAGUUAUGGAACUUGAAGAGUUUUUGGAUUAAAACUACUUUAAACACAUAAGUUAUGGAAUUAAUUAGUUUUGAAUAGUUUCAAAACUUGCCCUCAAGUUUUGGAAUUUGUAAAGUUUUCACUUAUGAAUACUUUAAUUCCAAGUUAGCCCUUAGAAUUUUAAAAGUUAAAAUUCAACCCUUAUACUUUAUAAUAUUAUAAGUUAAUAAUAUAUAUAUGUAUAAGAGUAAAGUCAGUCUUACCGCUAGUACGCCUCAUUCACGAAGCCGGUCUAUAAGGUGGGUAUAAGGUUGUUGCCUAUAAAAUGGCAACUUAAUGGGUGUCCACUCUCACCCACCGCUUGCUUGACUGGUGGAGGGUCGUUAGCCGAACGGGUUUGACAGGACUAGAAUUCUCCCUUCAUUAAAAGUAUUAAUGAUAAUACUAAGUAACUAAACUCUUAAUAAUACCCAAUCUUAGUUACUUAGGAAAAAUGUGAAUAAGGUGCUAAUCCAUGAAAUUACACUUUACACUUUGUCUAAGUCGUUAGUGGAGCGUGUGUGGUUAACCGGCACACUAACUUGGACUUAACAAGGUAGGUAAAGGGUGACUUAAUAUUUAUCAUAGUAUCGAUGGAGCGUGUGUGGUUAACCGGCACAUCGAUUGAGGGGUAAUUUAUUAAGGGUACCAAGUGAUUUGCAUGGUUACUUCACACCUUGUUUUGUGAUCCUCGGCAUCCCAGUCACAAAACCUGAAGGGCACACUCGAGAUUGAAACAUGCCUUUGAACAGUUCAAUGAAUCUCAAAGAUCUAGGAGUUUCAAAACCAAUUAAAACCUAAUAAUACAUUUCGUUUAUCUUGGUGGAAAUUGGUGAAUCGUCAUUCACCUACCUUCAAAUAUUUUAUAGCUUGGAUUACGGCAUACCUCUUCUAAGUUAUAAAAUAGUUUGUUGGGUCCUAGCCUUAAUAUUUCAUAUUGGGUGUCAUAUUAAGGACUUUAAAUCAACUAUCUUGAAUAUCUCCCAAAAGAUGUCUGUAAUAGACACCUAUGAUCUUCCCAAAUCUAGUGAAACAAGGUUUCCUAAAUGAAGAUGAUGUCCCAUGGAAAUCAUACUUCUUUCACCUCCUCCAAUUAUUCUCCCUAACCCACAAGUUCUUGAAAAGUUUAAGGUCACUCAAGCCCUAUUGGCAAGGCAAGGUCUAGGUGUGAUCACAUCUUGGAGAUGUAGUCACAUAUUGACAAGCCGGGAGAGUUGGGUGUCAAAGUCUUGAGAAAGUUGGUGGUUCAAUCACUUUCUAAGUCACAUAGUGAGUUCCUUUGGGACACCUAUGAAACAGACUAUGACAAGACCCUUAAUGAUCUUAUCUAUUUGCUAAGAUCAACUUCCUAAAACUUUAUGGACAUUGACAAUGAUGACAUAGGAUAUCCAGAAAAGCAUUCUCUUCCCAAUGGAAAGGGAUCGGCCAUAGUCAACUCGGUUGACCAAAUGGUAAAGAGAAAAGCUAAGUCUGUGAUAGUCCCGUGUACCAUUAUCAAAGGGUCCAUAUGUUUAUAUUGCCAAAGGAAGGGGCAUUGGUUGCGAAGCUGCCAAAUUUACCUAAGGAUGUUAAAGUCAAUAAGUUUGACUCUACUUCAGGUAAAGUCCACUAUCUAACUCUGUUAAGUUUCUAUUCUGAGAUUCUUGAUACAUGAUGUGACUGGGUCACAUGGUGAUGUUUUAAGAAUCAAAGAAAAGUGAAGAAACUUAAAGAAAGAAUAUGCUGAAUCUGAUCGCGUAGAUGGAUUUCUAUCGCAUAGUUUGAAGAUCGGAUUCUUGAGCUACUUCUUAGGAGUUAUGAGAUAUUGCUUAGGAAUAGAUAACAACAAGUUUUCAUAUGGAUUGUAAGGAUAAGUUUUUCCGCAAAGUUUUAAAAUAAAAGAAAAUUUUUGAUUUUAUUUAUUUUAAAAUAUCCUUACAAUGGCAUUUGAGGAAAAAUUGUUGCUUAUAUGAUUCCAUUAAUAGCAAGAGUGGAAAUAUGAAAUUGAUUCUUUCAUUUGUGGUAAUGUCUAAAUUUACCAAAUAAGGAAAGAUUCUCAUCACCCAAGUUUCAGUUGGACCAGAACUUGGAAUCAUGCAAGGUGUAUAGCAUGAUGGAUGAGAACUUUNNNNNNNNNNNNNNNNNNNNNNNNNNNNNNNNNNNNNNNNNNNNNNNNNNNNNNNNNNNNNNNNNNNNNNNNNNNNNNNNNNNNNNNNNNNNNNNNNNNNAAAGAAAGAAUAUGCUGAAUCUGAUGGCGUAGAUGGACUUCUAUCACAUACUUUGAAGAUCGAAUUCUUGAGCUACUUCUCAGGAGUUAUGAGAUAUUGCUUAAGAAUAGAUAACAACAAGUUUUCAUAUGGAUUGAAAGGAUAAGUUUUUCCGCAUAGUUUUAAAAUAAAGGAAAAUUUUGAUUUUAUUUGUUUUAAAAUAUCCUUACAAUGGCAUUUGAGGAAAAAUUGUUGCUUAUAUGAUUCCAUGAAUAGCAAGAGUGGAAAUAUGAAAUUGAUUCUUACAUUUGUGGUAAUGUCUAAAUUUACCAAAUAAAGGAAAGAUUCUCAUCACCCAAGUCUCAGUUGGACCAGAACUUGGAAUCAUGCAAGGUGUAUAGCAUGAUGGAUGAGAACUUUCAAGCAUUGGAAAAAUUAAGACUAACUACUUGUUCACAUGGAUGUGUGAGUCAAGUAAAGGACUAAGGGAUCGAGUACACAUUCUUGUGCACUGAUUAAGUCCACCACAAAAGAUUGAUAAGAUUAUUCAUCAUAGUUUACAAAAGCUCAGUAAACAUGAUUAUACUUACAAGCUUAAGUGUAACUUUGAGACAUUGAAAAAGGUUCCAAUGUAUGGCAGCGCGAAUAAGAAGAAUCAAAUUAGGCAGAAGGAUAAAAGUUUCUCAAAUCUGAAAAGAUGGGAGAGUAGUUUAGUAUCAGUUUUGUGAUCAUCUUAAUGAUUAAGAAACCAUAUCAAAAUUAGUUAUCUAAGGAAAAUCUUAGUGCAUUCUUGUGACUAAGAAGAGGAACUUGAAUUGUUGAAAUGGUUAAAUCAAGAAGAUGAGUCAUACUUCGUCCCAAUACUCCAAGAUUGUAACUUGAGUGACAUGUCUUAAAGAAGGUUUAAAACACUUGUCAAAUGUAAGAGUAAAAGUUUUCUACUCUUGUACAUUUGAAAUUGGUAAGUUGUGAUGUUUUGGAUAAAACAAAGACCAACUUAGGCCAAUUGUGUGAAGUGUUUGUCUUGAUUAGAAUCCACACUAUCUCUUGGAUAUUUGACAAGGGAGUCUUAUAGGUCAAGAGGACAGUGGGAGUCUUAAAAGUCUCAAGAACUAAUCAAGAAUAGAACCUGAAGUUCUUCACUAGCACACGACUUGAGGUUUAUAACCUAUCGUGUUGACAUAUUCUGUGCCCAUUCCAGUUAAAGUUGGCUUUGCAUAUGAGUUCUUAGAGUUCUCAAUUUGUUGCAUAACAACUUGGAAGCAAUGGCAGGCCCUUGAGCUGCCAGGUGGCAAGAAGUUAAGAUUGAGUUCAAUCCAUAUGGUUUUGGAUUUGUCAUUAUCUUUGUCUUGUGAUUAUGGUUUGACAAAUUCAUAUGGGUAGGAACUCAUACACCAUAUAAAUCUAAGUGUCAUAAGGUUUCUCUCCGAUUCAUGAAAAUGAUGGUGAGGAAACACUUUCACUAAGUAGAUUUUAGCUAGAUAGCAAUUGUGAUAUUUGCAUUCUCAAAGUCGUUAGUGGAGCGCGUGUGGUUAACCGGCACACUAACAUGGACUUGUGAGAAGUGGCAAAAAGGUCUAACCAUUAUGAUUACGGCAUACCUCUUCAUAAUUGUUUAGACACACAAGUGUGCUAUCUAAGGGAAGGUGUAUGAUUUUGAUAAAGUUUUAUCAAAACAAUCUAGUAUCAGAAAUCUGAACUUUGGUAAGAAAGUCAAUGAAGUAUUGAUUUCUAGAAGUCCAGCUGAUUUCUGAGUACAUGUCAAAGCUAGUGGGAGCAUAAGUGUUAUGCUAAUAAUCAUCAUGUUAGUGGGAGCAUGAUAAUUAUGAUAAGUAUUGCAAGUUAGCAAUGUUAAUUAUAGAAAACAAAAGUUUCAAUUGGGAAAAAGUUGUUUUGCUAUAAUUAAGGGAGAGGAAAUUAUGCUUCAUCUCAAAUCUAUAAGCUUAGAUCGUGAGGUUUUAAUCAUUUAGUCAAGGAUAUAUAUGAAUUUCAUGUUGGAAUGGCUCAACAUAAGGAAAUUCUGUAUAUGGGUCCAUUAUUUGCGUUCUAAAAUUCGAUUAUGAUUACGGCAUCCCUUUUCAUAAUCUGAAUUAUGAGAACUUGGCAAAUUGAAAUGGAAAUAUUAUAGCAAAAGACUGGUUUAGUCUUUAUGUGAGACAUCAUGAAUCGUGUCCCAUAUGCUUCGGAUAUAGGAUCGAUUACAUGUGCUAUAUUCAUCCGUUCUAAAAUUUUCCAAAUGCCUGGGGCAUUAAGAAGGGAAAAGGUUUAGAACUGGAUAUGACUAAAAGGAUUAAACAGUUGUCGAGGAUAAUCUAAGGUUUACCAAAGAUUGGUUGCUCAAGGACAGUUGGAAGUAUAGUGAUAAUUCUGGAAGGACCAGAUUGACAUAAUUUGUAAGGAGGCAACUCUUGUUCAGAUGUGAUAGUCAAAAUGGAAUCUGGAAAUGUUUCAAAGUUAGAAUGUUGAAUCUGUGUAAGAUUAAGGAAACUUAAUGUAAGAAGGAUGUUUUCCAAGGAGCUGAUCUCCUGUGGAAUACUUUGUAAUGGUUGUUGUCAAGUCCUUGUGAUUUUGUGCAUAAUCAUUACAAGAGGAUCAAUGCAUAUAAGUUUAGAAUCUAACAGAUUUCAGUAAAUGGCAUGAAUUUGGAAUUCUUGCAUUUGCAGUAAGGAUUUGGGAGUGUGAAAAGAGAAUCAUUGAAGUUAUGUUCAAUUGAUCUAGUUCACAAAGUAAAGAUCAUAGACAAACAUAGUAUGCAUACUUGGUGUGUGGCAUGACUAGUGUUUAAGAAAACAUAGUGUACAUGCUUGGAGCAUGGGACAACUAUUGUUUUAAAUUCAAGAAUAAAGUUGAUAGCUGAAACAGUAUACAAUGAAUAAUGUGUAAUCAUAUGGUGAUAAAUAAAAGGUGUUUUAUUUAUGUUCAAAGGUUUGAUACCAUAUUGGAUUCAAUUAUUAUUGUGUUUCACUUUGCAUGUUUUGACUUCCCGAAUAAACUGGGUUAUUCUUCCGGAAUGACUAAGUUAUUCAAACCAUCCACAGUCGGUCAUAUGUUGGAAGUAGAUAUGAAUUAAGACUGUCAUGGGUUGGCUUGUAGAGGUCUAAGGUGUUGGACAAAGGGCUACAACACUCAUGAGUGCUCAUAAGUUCUGAGUAUUGGAUUCAACCCGCGCUCAUUGGAAUCACUUCAUGGAUUUUAUCACGAGUGAUCAUGAGACGAUAAUAUCUUAUAUUCUUCAAACCUAGAGAUAUGAGUUGUUACUAUGAGUUGAUAGUACAUUGAUUGCACGAAAACGCAUUUGGUAACUCGGUGCUAUAAAACGUGCCUUUGUGUAUGAUUCAACAAGUAGUAGAACAAGCCAUAUGAGUCGAAGUUUAUCCAUUCCUUUUACCUUCGGGAUAAAAGCGAUAUCUGUGGGCCCCUCGAUGAUUUGAUGAUGACAAAUGGAAGUGCUCGGCCGGGCCAGGACUGAUUUGAUUUGUUCAAUUAGUCAGUCGUCAUAAAUCGGAAAUCGGGAAACAACAAAUGGACAGAGAGAAUGAUUAUAAUCCAUGUCUCAGUCCAUAUGAUAUCUAGAAUGGAGGAAUAUAUGAUCCCUUAUCUAAUGGACAAGUCAUUGACAAAGGUCAGAGUUCAUCUACAAGGUCAGAGUUCGACAGAAGCUUUUGAGAGCUACGAUUGCCAGUUGGUUCCUGAAGUCAUACGCAAUAAUAGUUUUAGACUUAUCCAAGUGGGAGACUGUUGGAUUAAUGUCUAAGUCCAUAACUAUAAUUGGUAAGACUUGACCCGACCCGGCAUGGUCCAUUUGGGUUGCAUGCCAUCAUGCACUUGGAUAGACUAUAAUGAGAGAAAUAAGACACUUAUGGUUAUUAAUAUAUUAUAAGUUCUAGUAUAUUAAUAAUAAGAAUAAUAAGAUUAUUUAAUUAGUAUUGAUCAAGAAUUAAUCUAGGAUUAAUUAAGUGAUCAAAAGAAGACUAAUUAAAUAUAUGGGUUGAGUGUGUAAAUCAUCCAUACUUGUAUAGUGGGCUAAUGCUCCAUGGAUAAUCAAGUUGGGCUAAAACCCAUAGGAUGGUCCAUGGAUGCUCCAUGGUGUAUUUGUACCCAUGGAUCAUGGAAAUGAAAGGCCAUGUCAAUUAGGGUUUACAUGGUGUAACCCUAACUAUAUAAGCAUCUUAUUCUUGACCAAAAUCGGCCACUAGUGAGAAAAGAAAAAGGGCUAGCCGAUUUUCAUGAGUAUAGAAUUCUCUCAAGUUAUUCCAAGAGUAUUUGGUGUUGUGUGAACCAUUUGAGGUGUCACACUUAGGGCACUAGGCACUCAAGCUUCAUGAAGACUUUCUACAUCAAAGAGGUAUGUAUUCUAUCUUGCUAUAGUGAUUGUUUUGUAUGCUAGAUUAGGAUAAUACCUUGGAAGUUCUUAUUUGCAUGUAUAAUAGAGAAAACAUAGAUCCAAGGUAUUUAGGGUUGCAUGUACACUUAGGAGUGUUAGAAUGCUCA